CAGCCGUAAACGAUGCGCGUUAGGUGUAUCGACGACCACGAGUCGUCGAGGUGCCGAAGGGAAACCGUGAAACGUGCCGCCUGGGAAGUACGGUCGCAAGGCUGAAACUUAAAGGAAUUGGCGGGGGAGCACCACAACAGGUGGAGCCUGCGGUUUAAUUGGACUCAACGCCGGAAAUCUCACCGGAUAAGACAGCAGAAUGAUUGCCGGGCUGAAGACUCUGCAUGACUAGCUGAGAGGAGGUGCAUGGCGUAGACGUCU
Molecule: ribosomal RNA, 261 nt
Filed under: uncultured archaeon
Lineage: Archaea
Description: partial 16S ribosomal RNA
Rfam family: Archaeal small subunit ribosomal RNA
Source: RNAcentral